GCCACCAUAGCUCAGCUGGUAGAGCAGCUCAUUCGUAAUGAGCAGGUCCGCGGUUCGAGUCCGCGUGGUGGCUCCA
RNAcentral lists this transfer RNA (76 nucleotides) under Candidatus Glassiibacteriota bacterium. Its description in RNAcentral is "Candidatus Glassbacteria bacterium tRNA-Thr". It matches the Rfam family "tRNA". Rfam says of the family: Transfer RNA (tRNA) molecules are approximately 80 nucleotides in length. Their secondary structure includes four short double-helical elements and three loops (D, anti-codon, and T loops). Further hydrogen bonds mediate the characteristic L-shaped molecular structure. tRNAs have two regions of fundamental functional importance: the anti-codon, which is responsible for specific mRNA codon recognition, and the 3' end, to which the tRNAs corresponding amino acid is attached (by aminoacyl-tRNA synthetases). tRNAs cope with the degeneracy of the genetic code in two manners: having more than one tRNA (with a specific anti-codon) for a particular amino acid; and 'wobble' base-pairing, i.e. permitting non-standard base-pairing at the 3rd anti-codon position. The record is from RNAcentral. RNAcentral also lists the same sequence under 1 other name. Lineage: Bacteria; Candidatus Glassiibacteriota.